GUGUCCUGGGCACACACCCUCAAGUACCCGCAGGUCCCGUCGCCCCCGCGGGCCCGUCCAGGCCCCGCCCUCUGUCCCGGGGCGCUGUCUGGCUCACUCCGCGGUGGGAAAGCCCAGCCUGCAGGCUUGGUGAACCAGCCGCCCGGUUUCCUUCCAGCAGGAGGGCUGAGACCCCCCCCGCAGUUUCCGGGCCCUCCAAUCACGCCCUCAGGAAGGGGCUUGCACCGCGGCCGGCCCGACCCUCGGACGCGUUUGUGAUGUUCACGCGCCCCCUGGAGGGAACAGUAAUCUCGGCUUCCGGGGAACACGCGCGUGCGUGUCGGGGGUGUGCGCGUGAUGUGCGUGUGCGUGUCGGGGUGUGUGCGUCAUGUGCAUGUGCGCGAUGUGCACUGCGCGACAUGUGUGCGUGUGCGUGUGCGCGCGUAUGUGAUGUGCGGGUGGGGGGGGGUGCGCGCGCGGUGUGCGCUGCACUGGGCUGCGUCUUCCCCCCCGGCCCCACCCCCGGGCUGCAGGCGGGUCCCGGCGCCGCGGUCCCGGCCCUGACCCGUCCAAGUCGCCCCAGGGCCGCUCCCGUCUCUCCCCUUCAGUUUCUUCACUACCCGGCCGACACCCGGGUCAUGGGUGACUUAAUGCAGAAUCCUGAGCUGGUCCCCCACCACACUGAGAAUUUUUCUCAGUCUCACAAAUGAACCCAGCACAGCCGGACACCCCGAGCAGAUACAGGGCCAGCGCACAGGCCUGGCAGCAGAGGAGGGAGGAAUCCAGGUCAUACCCUCCAUGUCCCCAGCCCGGAAGGACAUUUCUCUUCCAGGACACCGAGGCCCACUGACCUGCAAAGCAACCUGCUCUAUGGGCACUUUGAGCUAAGGAGGAAGAUCGUCCCAGGCACAACGCCUCGUGCGGGACUCCAGCUUUGCACGGAAUAUUCUUUUGCCUGCCUCCAAGAUGGUCCCUAGAUGGGCCCCACAUCUUUCUAAGAGCUCAACGGUCACUUUCUGAGCGGUUCCGCAUGGAGGGAAGCCAACCUCCCAGCCCAUCAGGCUGCCCCGCCUUGCCAAGAACUCAUCACCACCUGAAUGACCUCCUUCCCUUCCCAACGCGGGUCACUGGGUGCCUGCAGUGGACUCUGUCUUCCAUGGGAUGUACCAGCCUACCAAGGGACAGGCUGUCUCCCGGAGCCGACAGACUGUCGGUCCCGUUGUUCACUUAGUUGUUGUCAGCCUCCCCCACUGGAACACAAGCCGUGUGAGAGCAGGGACCUUGGUCAGCCUGGCCCACUGCCUUAUCCCCAGAGCCUAGAAAAAUUAUGUAACUUGCCCAAGUUUAUACAACUAUUCAUAGUAGAGGCAUUUGUUUCUAGGCCCUGUUCUCUUAACCACUAGACAAUCUUGUCUUACAAACAGCUCUCGGCCAUUCAUUGAUUUGUUCUACAAAUAUUUAUUGAACACCACAACAUGCCAGCUGUUGUUCUAGAUCAGCGGUGUUCAGUACAGCUGAGGGCGAUAACGGAAUGUUCCCUGUCUGUCCUGCCCAAUAUGGUAGCCACGCGCCACAUGCCCAUGCGACUGAAGCGCUGAAUCUUCAUUUCACUGCAAGGGAUUCUCCGCAAGAGUGAAGACAGGCUGCAGACCUCCCGCUGGCCACAGUGACCGGAUGGAUGAGAUCUAGGAGCUGUAGGUUGACACAGUGUAACUCCUUGGCCAUCAUCUGCGUCACCCGGCCUGC
This is a non-coding RNA of Manis javanica (Malayan pangolin), 1725 nucleotides long. NCBI's taxonomy places the organism in Eukaryota, Metazoa, Chordata, Mammalia, Pholidota, Manidae. The record is from RefSeq and is a predicted model, not a curated record.